This 372-nucleotide ribosomal RNA is filed under the name uncultured organism. RNAcentral's name for it is "partial 16S ribosomal RNA". It matches the Rfam family "Bacterial small subunit ribosomal RNA", at positions 527 to 896 of the family's 1533-position model. The record is from RNAcentral.
GUAGGUGGCAAGCGUUGUCCGGAAUUAUUGGGCGUAAAGCGCGCGCAGGCGGUUCUUUAAGUCUGGUGUGAAAGCCCACGGCUCAACCGUGGAGGGUCAUUGGAAACUGGAGAACUUGAGUACAGAAGAGGAAAGCGGAAUUCCACGUGUAGCGGUGAAAUGCGUAGAGAUGUGGAGGAACACCAGUGGCGAAGGCGGCUUUCUGGUCUGUAACUGACGCUGAGGCGCGAAAGCGUGGGGAGCAAACAGGAUUAGAUACCCUGGUAGUCCACGCCGUAAACGAUGAGUGCUAAGUGUUAGGGGGUUUCCGCCCCCCUUAGUGCUGCAGCUAACGCAUUAAGCACUCCGCCUGGGAGUACGGCCGCAAGGCUG